AUUGAACGCUGGCGGCAGGCCUAACACAUGCAAGUCGAGCGGAUGAAGGGAGCUUGCUCCUGGAUUCAGCGGCGGACGGGUGAGUAAUGCCUAGGAAUCUGCCUGGUAGUGGGGGAUAACGUCCGGAAACGGGUGCUAAUACCGCAUACGUCCUGAGGGAGAAAGUGGGGGAUCUUCGGACCUCACGCUAUCAGAUGAGCCUAGGUCGGAUUAGCUAGUUGGUGGGGUAAAGGCCUACCAAGGCGACGAUCCGUAACUGGUCUGAGAGGAUGAUCAGUCACACUGGAACUGAGACACGGUCCAGACUCCUACGGGAGGCAGCAGUGGGGAAUAUUGGACAAAGGGCGAAAGCCUGAUCCAGCCAUGCCGCGUGUGUGAAGGAGGUCUUCGGAUUGUAAAGCACUUUAAGUUGGGAGGAAGGGCAGUAAGUUAAUACCUUGCUGUUUUGACGUUACCAACAGAAUAAGCACCGGCUAACUUCGUG
Molecule: ribosomal RNA, 484 nt
Filed under: uncultured bacterium
Lineage: Bacteria
Description: partial 16S ribosomal RNA
Rfam family: Bacterial small subunit ribosomal RNA
Source: RNAcentral